UGCCAGACUCCUACGGGAGGCAGCAGUGGGGAAUAUUGGGCAAUGGGCGCAAGCCUGACCCAGCAACGCCGCGUGAAGGAAGAAGGCUUUCGGGUUGUAAACUUCUUUUAAGAGGGAAGAGAAGAAGACGGUACCUCUUGAAUAAGCCACAGCUAACUCCGUGCCAGCAGCCGCGGUAAUACGGAGGAUGCGAGCGUUAUCCGGAUUUAUUGGGUUUAAAGGGUGCGUAGGCGGAUCGUUAAGUCAGUGGUAAAUUGGGGGGGCUCAACCCCUCCCCGCCAUUGAAACUGGCGAUCUUGAGUGGAAGAGAAGUAUGCGGAAUGCGUGGUGUAGCGGUGAAAUGCAUAGAUAUCACGCAGAACCCCGAUUGCGAAGGCAGCAUGCCGGCUUCCGACUGACGCUGAAGCACGAAAGCGUGGGGAUCGAACAGGAUUAGAUACCCUUGUAA
RNAcentral lists this ribosomal RNA (448 nucleotides) under uncultured bacterium. Its description in RNAcentral is "partial 16S ribosomal RNA". It matches the Rfam family "Bacterial small subunit ribosomal RNA", at positions 329 to 793 of the family's 1533-position model. The record is from RNAcentral.